This 253-nucleotide ribosomal RNA is filed under the name uncultured bacterium. Its description in RNAcentral is "partial 16S ribosomal RNA". It matches the Rfam family "Bacterial small subunit ribosomal RNA", at positions 524 to 776 of the family's 1533-position model. The record is from RNAcentral.
UACGAAGGGGGCUAGCGUUGCUCGGAAUGACUGGGCGUAAAGGGCGCGUAGGCGGAUGGCACAGUCAGAUGUGAAAUUCCCGGGCUUAACCUGGGGGCUGCAUUUGAUACGUGUUGUCUAGAGUGAGGAAGAGGGUUGUGGAAUUCCCAGUGUAGAGGUGAAAUUCGUAGAUAUUGGGAAGAACACCGGUGGCGAAGGCGGCUCACUGGCUCAUUACUGACGCUCAGGCGCGACAGCGUGGGGAUCAAACAGG